GAAUGUCACUGAAGCACAUGUUCACAUACCCAAAAUAAUUGUGCUAUUAAUGUUCAAGCUAAUGGUCUAUUUACCUUAAUCUGGUAAAUAACCUUAAAAAGGAUCUGAAGAGAUACAAGGAGAAAAAUAAAAAUGAGAGAGAUGAUGCUUUUAUCGUAUUUUGCUCGAGCUAAGACUGAGAUGCAUCCAAAGACAUAAUCACCAGUUUCAGAUUCUAACAGAAAAGACUUAAGCUACCAAGUAUGAAAUUACUUUUCCCUGCCAUAACAAUAUAAUCAAUUUUCCACUAGAAAAGUCAUCUAAAUAAACAAAACCAAUCACCGAGGCAUAUGCAGGCAUACAUGUCCAGAUUGAAGUAAUGCCCUCAAGGCAGGAUCACAAAAAUCUUUUCAGGUUCAGUAAUUUUUAUUGAGUGGGUCAAAACAAAACCCACGUUGAAUUUCUAUGCUUGUGGAGCCUCAGCUUACAGCAAGAGAGUGAACUAAAUGGUGAAAGUAGCUAUCGUCCACCUUCUAUAUCAUCCUAACAAUAACAUUCUUGCCUCAAGAAAAAGCCUUUCAGGAGUUCAAGCACUAAUUCCACUGUUCAAUAAGGUAUUGAUCUCGCCAAUUAUAUGAACAGGCCUUCCAUCAAACAUGGAUGAAAGUGUGCUCUCACAAAGCCUCUUCAGCUCCCUGGUUUUUGCAAGAGCUGCUUCCUGCUUUGGCCAUGAUGAAGAUAAAGAAUUGUGAAGUUCCAUGCGUUUAGCAGCCAAGUCCUUCAAUCCCUCUUUUAACUUCAGCUCGUGAUGCUUCUUUUCCUCCAAUGUACUUACUAGUCUGUCCAGAAAUCUUUUGGAGUUGAGAAUCAUGAUCAAGUCUAAUGUUUUACGAUUUGUCAGCAAGGAAAUUGCCAAGGAAACAUCAGACAACAUUGUCUCGAUGGCAUCAGGAGUGUACUGCUGCAGCACAAAAGGAGCAACUGACUGGACUUGAUGUUGCAAGGACAAAGUUUCUCCACUUCUCAACUCAGCCAAUCGUUGGCUCAAAAAUGCUUUGAUCUCAUACAAAUCAUCAAGGAGUUUAUUCCUGUACUCAGUCUCCAAGAGUUGGCUCCUGUCUUCCUUCACUCCUGGAUUUUGAGUUAAAGAAUCUGGAAUAUGUGUCUGAUUUUCCACGCUGACAUUGGGCAAAUUGACAUCAUCAAUCACAUCCACCUGAGGUGUUUCAACGCUAAUAUCCCAAGAUAUACCUGACACAGAAAUCUCUGGAUGCAAGCUGUCUGCCCCUUUAUUUAAUGGGGCUUGAUCAGAUUCUAUAGCUUCAUUUUGUGAUGAAUUCUGUAUGAUGUCACUAGCAUUCACAAUUUCGUAAGGACCCAAACCAUUACCACCAUCAUCUGUUUCUUCCACAGCACCAAUAUCCCAAUCAAUCUGAGUGCUAUCAACAGAAAUAUCCCAGUCAAUAUUAUCUGCAGUAAAAUCCCCAUCCUGUCUCACAUGGCUUGAUUCAUCAUAACUUAAUUCAACAUUUUCAGCAUCAAGGAUAUCCAGGCCAGCAGAAACAUUUAGAGAAGGGGGAUUUUCAUGAAUAUUUUUCAAGUUCGACAACACCGUCCAUGAAGAUUUCUGCAGUUGCAUUUCCAAGUUGAAUUAAGUAUGAAAUAAAUUGAUAUAAUCAACCUUCAUUUGCAUAAAAUGGGCACAAGUCUUUUUUUUUUCCCUUCCAACUACCUAAGUAUUUUCGACAUGAUCCCUAAAAGAUAAUUACAUGCAAUGGAGGAUUUAAACAAUGAAAUAUUAAACAAUUGGCACACUUGGGUCACUAGAAAAGAAUAAAUAUCAUAAUAAAUGAAAACUUAGACAACACAAUCUUAAAUAGCUAGUCAUCUAAUUAUCCUAUUUAUGCUGAGUUAAUAAUCAAUAUGACAAGUGAGGCCCAUAGCUGGCACACAAAUCAAGGUGAUGGAACCCAACUAAGCCCAUUUAAUAGAUUGACCAAUGAAAAAAGGACACGCAUCAAGUAGGACCCAUAAAAACCAAUUUAAAAAGACAACUAAAAUAAAAGUAAACUAAUGCUUCAUUUGUUUCACAGAAAUAAUUUUGCUAUGGAGGCAAAUAUUUUCUAAGAAAAUGGCAUUCUAAUUUCUAUUGUUUAGUUGCAAUAUUAAAAAUCAGUUGGAAACUAUUUUCUAGCCUUUAGAGUGCACUGGAAACUAUUCAUUUUCAUUCAAGUAUUUAAGACUAUGAAAAUGUUAGAACAUAAAAGAACUUCACAAUUUCUAUUUAAAGAUGGUUGGGAAAAGAGUAAAUUGUGGUAGUCACUGGUGACCAAAUGCAACUGCUGGGUGGAUGGUGACAACCAGGGAUGAUCAGGAGCAAUCAAUAGACUAACGGGUAUAUGCUUUUGUUUUUCCCUUAUACAUUUUAUGCCCUUAUAAUUAAUAUAAUUAUGUUGGUAUCAAAAAUUUACAAUGGCUUGAGGAAAUAAUGAAGUAAGUAUUAACGACCUCACAAAAUAGAGAUAUAAUUAUCAAAUUUGAUUGCUUGGUUCCAAGAAAAGUGACACUAAAAUUGUCUCACAGCAUGCCAGUCCAAGACUUGAGACUUUUAAAGUUUCAUUUUUUUUAAAUGAGGGCAGCAAGGCCACUUCUCAAGCUGCCAUGUCACCCUCUACUUGAUUGCCCUGCUUGCUUGAACCGGCAAUGGGUCCACUGAUUCACCAAUUACCCAAACAGCUAGAGCAGGUUUGGUGGCUUCUAAGGGAGGAGGAAAAAGAGGAGGGGGGGUGGUGUUGGGGUUUGGCACUCUUGUGCAGCAGACUGGCAGGAAACUAGGCUGGUUUCCAGUUUUCCCAGACCAGGUCUGAAAUCCUUGCUUGAGAGAACAGAGGGGGGAAAAGAAUGACAUUGCCUUACAUCAUUUUCAGUGUGAACAUCUUUGACAAAAGUGGAAUAAUACUCUAUCGCCCGCAGCAUAGAAUCACUAUUUAUAACUUCUAGAAUCCUGCUAAAAGUGCUUGGAAGCAAUUUUGCAGUCUCCAAGAGUUCAGACCUGACAUUGUUUCCCUGCAAUCCAAGCUCUUGACAAGCCUCAACAUACUUAGCUGCUGAAAGAGAUGCACUUCUUUUUAUGUCAGCCUCCUUGCGAUCUAGUUCUGCCAGUUGUUGCUGGAUCUUCUGUACUUGCUUUUUCUGAUAUGGUAUUUCAUAAUUUACAUUUUGAAUUAUUAUUUGGGCAGCCUCACCUAGGUAGAUAUAGUCUUUCUCAAAAGAAUGCACAAUUGCCUCCCAAGCACCAGCAGCACCUGAUAGCCGGCCAAAUAUAUUCCGGCUUUCUGGAGUUGUUUUCACAAGAAUAUCAUAAAUUUUCUUGGCCUCUAAGUACCCUAUCCCUUCAGGGUCCAGAGUUUGGAAAUAGGUAUCGAUAUCCUUAGGCAGAGAAUAGAACUCCUUGGAAAUUCGAGCUCUGACAGCGGAAAUCCGUUUUCUCCAAUCGGCCGGAAUUCUCUUCCGAUCAACCAGCCAUUCUUCCAAUCCAAGAAAUUAAAGGAAAAGAAAUCAAAACAGGAAAGAAGAAAUCAAAAGGCUAGCAUCGAAUGAUGGUGAAAGGAGGAUACCUCCGAGACGAGAAAAGGUGAUAUCGAUAGGAAGAUUUCGAAUGUCCUCUGGAGUCUGCAUUUCUUGAUUUUACACACACA
RNAcentral lists this unclassified non-coding RNA (3677 nucleotides) under Hevea brasiliensis (rubber tree). The record is from RNAcentral. Lineage: Eukaryota; Viridiplantae; Streptophyta; Magnoliopsida; Malpighiales; Euphorbiaceae.